AUCUCAUCCUGGGGCUGAAGCAGGUCCCAAGGGUAUGGCUGUUCGCCAUUUAAAGAGGUACGCGAGCUGGGUUUAGAACGUCGUGAGACAGUUCGGUCCCUAUCUGCCGUGGGCGCUGGAAAUUUGAGAGGAUCUGCUCCUAGUACGAGAGGACCAGAGUGGACGAACCUCUGGUGUACCGGUUGUGACGCCAGUCGCAUCGCCGGGUAGCUAUGUUCGGAAGGGAUAACCGCUGAAAGCAUCUAAGCGGGAAGCCUACCUCAAGAUAAGAUUUCCCUAGGACUUUAUGUCCUCUAAAGAGCCGUUCGAGACUAGGACGUUGAUAGGUUGGAUGUGGAAGCAUAGUGAUAUGUGAAGCUGACCAAUACUAAUUGCUCGUGAGGCUUGACUAU
Molecule: ribosomal RNA, 392 nt
Filed under: Acinetobacter baumannii
Lineage: Bacteria; Pseudomonadati; Pseudomonadota; Gammaproteobacteria; Moraxellales; Moraxellaceae
Description: partial 23S ribosomal RNA
Rfam family: Bacterial large subunit ribosomal RNA
Source: RNAcentral